This 157-nucleotide ribosomal RNA is filed under the name uncultured bacterium. Its description in RNAcentral is "partial 16S ribosomal RNA". It matches the Rfam family "Bacterial small subunit ribosomal RNA", at positions 8 to 134 of the family's 1533-position model. The record is from RNAcentral.
AGAGUUUGAUCCUGGCUCAGGACGAACGCUGGCGGCGUGCCUAAUACAUGCAAGUCGUACGCACUGGCCCAACUGAUUGAUGGUGCUUGCACCUGAUUGACGAUGGAUCACCAGUGAGUGGCGGACGGGUGAGUAACACGUAGGUAACCUGCCCCGG